AGAGUUUGAUCCUGGCUCAGGACGAAUGCUGGCGGCGUGCUUAAUAUAUGCAAGUCAAGGAGAAAAGUGUUCUUCGGAGUACUAAGUAAACUGGCGAACGGGUGCGUAAUAUGUAGGCAAUUUGUCCUUAGGUUGGGGAUAACUCUGCUAAAGCGGAGUUAAUAUCGGAUGUAGUUCAGAUGGCAUAAGUCGUUUGAAUAAAAGAUGCCCUCGGGUAUCGCCUGAGGAUGGGCCUGCGCCCCAUUAGUUAGUUGGUGAGGUAAUGGUUCACCAAGAUUGUGAUGGGUAGCCGAUUUGAGAGGGUGAUUGGCUAUAUUGGGAUUGAGAUACGGCCCAGACUCCUACGGGAGGUAGCAGUGAGGAAUAUUGCGCAAUGGGCGAAAGCCUGAUGCAGCAACGCCGCGUGAGUGAUGAAGCUCUAAGGAGCGUAAAGCUCUGUUAGGAGGGAAGAAUAGUACUGAUUCGAAUAGGCUCAGUAUUUGAUGGUACCUCCAAAGAAAGCCCCGGUUAACUCCGUGUUAGUAGUUGUGGUAAUACGGGGGGGGCAAGCGUUGUCCGGAAUUAUUGGGCGUAAAGGGCGUGUAGGCGGAAUAGUAUGUCAGAGGUGAAAAUUACGGGUUUAACUCGUAGUUUGUCUUUGAAAUUGCUAUUCUUGAGUGUGGGAGAGGAGAGUGGAAUUCCUGGUGUAGCGGUGAAAUGUGUAGAUAUCAGGAAGAAUACCGGUAGUGAAGGUGGCUCUCUGGUUUGUAAUUGACGCAGGCGCGAAAGCGUGGGGAGUAAACAGGAUUAGAUAUCCUGGUAGUCCACGCUGUAAACGUUGGGUAUUAGGUGUUGGUCUACGUUUAGUGGAGCAGUGCCGAAGCUAACGUAUUAAGUACCCCGUUUGGGGAGUAUGAUUGUAAGGUUGAAAUUUAAAGGAAUUGACGGGGACCCGCACAAGCGGUGGAGCAUGUGGUUUAAUUUGAUGCAAUGUGAAGAACCUUACCUGGGCUUGAAGUGCAGUCGCAACCCGGUGAAAGUUGGGUUUUUUUUGGGACGGCUGUAGAGGUGCUGUAUGGCUGUCGUCAGCUCGUGCCGUGAGGUGUUGGGUUAAGUUUUGUAACGAGCGCAACCCUUAUUUUUAGUUGUUAUUAGGUUAAGUUGGGUAUUUUAAGGGGACUGCCCCGGAUAACGGGGAGGAAGGUGGGGAUGACGUUAAGUCUUUAUGGCCCUUACGUCCAGGGUUAUAUACGUGCUACAAUGGUCGGUAUAGAGGGAAGUAAUAUUGUGAGGUGGAGUAGAUCCCUUAAAACCGGCCUUAGUUCGGAUUGUAGUCUGUAAUUUGACUACAUGAAGUCGGAAUCGCUAGUAAUCGCGGAUUAGUAUGCCGCGGUGAAUACGUUCCCGGGUCUUGUACACACCGCCCGUCACGCCAUGGAAGUCGGUAGUAUUUGAAGUUAGUGGCCUAAUUUUUUGGGGAAGGAGCUGCUGAAGGUGAGAUUGAUGAUUGGGGCGAAGUUGUAAUAAGGUA
Molecule: ribosomal RNA, 1510 nt
Filed under: metagenome
Description: bacterial SSU rRNA
Rfam family: Bacterial small subunit ribosomal RNA
Source: RNAcentral